UAAUUCGUCCAUGCUACAAUUUCCCUAAGA
Molecule: non-coding RNA, 30 nt
Filed under: Mus musculus (house mouse)
Lineage: Eukaryota; Metazoa; Chordata; Mammalia; Rodentia; Muridae
Source: RNAcentral